CCGCAGCAUGGGCUACUGUCCCCAGUCUGAUGCCAUCUUCGACCUGCUGACCGGCCGGGAACAUCUAGAACUGUUUGCGCGCCUGCGCGGGGUGCCCGAGGCCCAAGUUGCCCAGGUAAACGCGCCCUGUCCAGGUGCUAACCAGGGCCUGGCCCUUCUCGGUGGCCCCGCCCACGCUCACCUGGCCCGCUCCGCAGACAGCGCUCUCUGGCCUGGUGCGCCUGGGCCUUCCUAGCUACGCAGACCGACCCGCGGGUACCUACAGCGGAGGCAACAAACGGAAGCUGGCGACAGCUCUGGCUCUGGUUGGUGAUCCAGCAGUGGUCUUUCUGGACGAGCCCACCACAGGCAUGGACCCAAGUGCGCGGCGAUUUCUUUGGAACAACUUGCUGUCCGUGGUGCGUGAGGGCCGCUCCGUAGUGCUCACGUCGCACAGGUGAGCCCCAGGGCCACACUCUGGCCACCUCUCAGGAUGAGGUGAUCCUGAACCCGGUGAGGUCCCUAGAGUGGGACAAAAAGCAUGGUUCCCGGGCAGACAGGCUGGGCCCAGCCGCGCUCACACUGUCAUCCGCAGCAUGGAAGAGUGUGAAGCGCUCUGCACGCGCCUGGCCAUCAUGGUGAACGGGCGGUUCCGCUGUCUGGGAAGCGCUCAGCAUCUCAAAAGCAGGUGAGCUGGGCAGGAUGGACUGACAUGAAGCGCGCUGUGGGCGUGGUUAGGGCUAGAGGCUAGGGGCAGGGCCGUUUGAUGCCUCUUAGGGGCGGAGCCAGCU
This 770-nucleotide long non-coding RNA is filed under the name Rattus norvegicus (Norway rat). Its description in RNAcentral is "long non-coding RNA NONRATT026542". Lineage: Eukaryota; Metazoa; Chordata; Mammalia; Rodentia; Muridae. The record is from RNAcentral.